AGCGAACGCUGGCGGCAGGCCUAACACAUGCAAGUCGAACGAACCUUUCGGGGUUAGUGGCGGACGGGUGAGUAACACGUGGGAACGUGCCUUUAGGUUCGGAAUAACUCAGGGAAACUUGUGCUAAUACCGAAUGUGCCCUUCGGGGGAAAGAUUAAUCGCCUUUAGAGCGGCCCGCGUCUGAUUAGCUAGUUGGUAGAGGUAAUGGCUCACCAAGGCGACGAUCAGUAGCUGGUCUGAGAGGAUGAUCAGCCACAUUGGGACUGAGACACGGCCCAAACUCCUACGGGAGGCAGCAGUGGGGAAUCUUGCGCAAUGGGCGAAAGCCUGACGCAGCCAUGCCGCGUGAAUGAUGAAGGUCUUAGGAUUGUAAAAUUCUUUCACCGGGGACGAUAAUGACGGUACCCGGAGAAGAAGCCCCGGCUAACUUCGUG
Molecule: ribosomal RNA, 434 nt
Filed under: uncultured bacterium
Lineage: Bacteria
Description: partial 16S ribosomal RNA
Rfam family: Bacterial small subunit ribosomal RNA
Source: RNAcentral